Molecule: ribosomal RNA, 407 nt
Filed under: uncultured bacterium
Lineage: Bacteria
Description: partial 16S ribosomal RNA
Rfam family: Bacterial small subunit ribosomal RNA
Source: RNAcentral
UGGGGAAUAUUGCACAAUGGGCGGAAGCCUGAUGCAGCAACGCCGCGUGCGGGAUGACGGCCUUCGGGUUGUAAACCGCUUUCGCCUGUGACGAAGCGUGAGUGACGGUAAUGGGUAAAGAAGCACCGGCUAACUACGUGCCAGCAGCCGCGGUGAUACGUAGGGUGCGAGCGGUGGCCGGAUUUAUUGGGCGUAAAGGGCUCGUAGGUGGUUGAUCGCGUCGGAAGUGUAAUCUUGGGGCUUAACCCUGAGCGUGCUUUCGAUACGGGUUGACUUGAGGAAGGUAGGGGAGAAUGGAAUUCCUGGUGGAGCGGUGGAAUGCGCAGAUAUCAGGAGGAACACCAGUGGCGGAGGCGGUUCUCUGUGCCUUUCCUGACGCUGAGGAGCGAAAGCGUGGGGAGCGAACA